This 484-nucleotide ribosomal RNA is filed under the name uncultured bacterium. RNAcentral describes it as "bacterial SSU rRNA". It matches the Rfam family "Bacterial small subunit ribosomal RNA", at positions 1025 to 1509 of the family's 1533-position model. The record is from RNAcentral.
AACUCUGAGACAGGUGCUGCAUGGCUGUCGUCAGCUCGUGUUGUGAAAUGUUGGGUUAAGUCCCGCAACGAGCGCAACCCUUAUCCUUUGUUGCCAGCGGUUAGGCCGGGAACUCAAAGGAGACUGCCAGUGAUAAACUGGAGGAAGGUGGGGAUGACGUCAAGUCAUCAUGGCCCUUACGAGUAGGGCUACACACGUGCUACAAUGGCGCAUACAAAGAGAAGCGACCUCGCGAGAGCAAGCGGACCUCAUAAAGUGCGUCGUAGUCCGGAUUGGAGUCUGCAACUCGACUCCAUGAAGUCGGAAUCGCUAGUAAUCGUGGAUCAGGAUGCCACGGUGAAUACGUUCCCGGGCCUUGUACACACCGCCCGUCACACCAUGGGAGUGGGUUGCAAAAGAAGUAGGUAGCUUAACCUUCGGGAGGGCGCUUACCACUUUGUGAUUCAUGACUGGGGUGAAGUCGUAACAAGGUAGGCGUAGUGCU